CAAAUUUUCGCAGCCCCUUCACCAUCUCGACACAGCGUCUCUCUUGCGCCAUUCAACAUACACUCUCGCGGGGCCUUCUGGUGAUCCAAAUCCACAAAUGCGCGGUCUCGGAGGAGCUCUCACGAGUGGUGCGCCAAAUCCACAAACCUCUCGACACAGUGUCUCUCUCACGAAUUCAACACACACUCUCGCAGGCUCUUCUAGUCAUCCAAAUCCACAAACGCGCGGUCUCGAAGGAGCUCUCGCGAGUGGUGCACCAAAUCCACAAACCUCUCCGAGGAGCUGUCUCGAAAUGUGGUAGUGGUCUUGCACGAGUUCUUCGCCAAAGGGAAAAGCAAAAGAUUUGGGAUUAGAAAGUUUUGCUACGAGCUUCUAGACUUGAAAUAUGCGGUGGAAAACUUAUGCGGCAACAUGCACUCCAAGUUCUUGGCUUUCUUGAGGAUAUCUGAAAAGGCCGUGGAAGUAAAGCAUGAGUUGAUUGAGCUAUAGAAGCAUAUCUCAGCACAAGUUUAACUACUUUUCCACCAGCACUCAAAUCUCUUACCUCUUUAAGGGAGUUGCAUGCUUCCAAUAACAAAUUGGGUGGCCUUCCAAAUGAAAUAGGGCAGCUGACACAAUUAGAAGUUUUGCGAGCAAACAAUAAUAGAUUUUGAAGAAUUAGUUUCCAACUUUUCAAACACCCGAGUCAAAUCCCAAGCGUGUGGUUCAGCGGUAGGGGUUGAUCCACGCUUAAACAAGGUCAAGGGUUCGAAUCUUGCCUUGUGUAUGCAGCCGCGUUAAAUCUUGAGGUCAGCUAUCCCACCCUUUGAGGUGCCUCCAACGUAGUGAGGAGAUUAGUCGCUACUGUCGGCGGUGGAUACUCCAGGAACGAACCAAAAAAACACCCGAGUCAGAAAGCAUACACGCAUUGGGCUGACUCAGCAAGCAUCCACCCACCGAGUCACCAUCCACAGAAGCUCUCGAAUGACCAUAUCAUUAAUUUCACCAAAAAUAUUAAAAAUUGAUAUAUUUUUUAACAUAAUUAAAUUAACUUCACAUAAAUUUUAUCUUUUAAAAUAAUAGAUUUAAGCCUAACUCAACCAUAUAAAAUCAAUUUAUAAGAUGAG
Molecule: non-coding RNA, 1106 nt
Organism: Cajanus cajan (pigeon pea)
Lineage: Eukaryota; Viridiplantae; Streptophyta; Magnoliopsida; Fabales; Fabaceae
Source: RefSeq, a predicted model, not a curated record